CGCUAGCCGCUGAAUUGAUCCUUCGGGUGAAGUGAGGCAAUGACUAGAGUGGCGAACUGGUGAGUAACACGUAAGAAACCUGCCCUUUAGUGGGGGAUAACAUUUGGAAACAGAUGCUAAUACCGCGUAACAACAAAUCACACAUGUGAUCUGUUUGAAAGGUCCUUUUGGAUCGCUAGAGGAUGGUCUUGCGGCGUAUUAGCUUGUUGGUAGGGUAGAAGCCUACCAAGGCAAUGAUGCGUAGCCGAGUUGAGAGACUGGCCGGCCACAUUGGGACUGAGACACUGCCCAAACUCCUACGGGAGGCUGCAGUAGGGAAUUUUCCGCAAUGCACGAAAGUGUGACGGAGCGACGCCGCGUGUGUGAUGAAGGCUUUCGGGUCGUAAAGCACUGUUGUAAGGGAAGAAUAACUGAAUUCAGAGAAAGUUUUCAGCUUGACGGUACCUUACCAGAAAGGGAUGGCUAAAUACGUGCCAGCAGCCGCGGUAAUACGUAUGUCCCGAGCGUUAUCCGGAUUUAUUGGGCGUAAAGCGAGCGCAGACGGUUUAUUAAGUCUGAUGUGAAAUCCCGAGGCCCAACCUCGGAACUGCAUUGGAAACUGAUUUACUUGAGUGCGAUAGAGGCAAGUGGAACUCCAUGUGUAGCGGUGAAAUGCGUAGAUAUGUGGAAGAACACCAGUGGCGAAAGCGGCUUGCUAGAUCGUAACUGACGUUGAGGCUCGAAAGUAUGGGUAGCAAACGGGAUUAGAUACCCCGGUAGUCCAUACCGUAAACGAUGGGUGCUAGUUGUUAAGAGGUUUCCGCCUCCUAGUGACGUAGCAAACGCAUUAAGCACCCCGCCUGAGGAGUACGGCCGCAAGGCUAAAACUUAAAGGAAUUGACGGGGACCCGCACAAGCGGUGGAGCAUGUGGUUUAAUUCGAAGAUACGCGAAAAACCUUACCAGGUCUUGACAUACCAAUGAUCGCUUUUGUAAUGAAAGCUUUUCUUCGGAACAUUGGAU
RNAcentral lists this ribosomal RNA (1001 nucleotides) under Oenococcus oeni. RNAcentral's name for it is "bacterial SSU rRNA". It matches the Rfam family "Bacterial small subunit ribosomal RNA", at positions 56 to 1033 of the family's 1533-position model. Lineage: Bacteria; Bacillati; Bacillota; Bacilli; Lactobacillales; Lactobacillaceae. The record is from RNAcentral.